Molecule: long non-coding RNA, 713 nt
Organism: Mus musculus (house mouse)
Lineage: Eukaryota; Metazoa; Chordata; Mammalia; Rodentia; Muridae
Product: predicted gene, 42255
Exons: 3
Source: RefSeq, a predicted model, not a curated record
UAUAUGUGCAUGUAUGUGCAGGUGCAUAUACUGUGGAUAUAGACUCAUCACAUGUGGAUACCAGAAGACAACCUCAGAUCCCCCUGCCUGUAUCGCCCAAGCACUGAGAUUAUAGACGUAAGCUGCCAUAACUGCUUUGCACAGUGCUGGGUUGAAACUACGUCUCUGUGCUUGCUGGCAGGGCUUCCUCUUCUCUGCCUGAUGUGGGGAGCCCGACCCCCGAGUCUUCUACCUGAGGAAUGUCCCAGAGUCCUUGGAAACAUUUAAAGGUUCGACUUCCUCUCUUCAGUGUGUAAGCUAAUAACACUUCUCUGGCCGAUAUUGAGUAACCACUGGUGGAGAGAACACACCGUUUGUGAUACAUUGUGGCAGGCGGAUGCCACAGGCCACACAAAUACAAACCCCAGUGGAUGUGCUCUUGAUGACUGAGGUAUGCACUUUUGUCUUGUUCUGGGCAGUGUAGAGGUGCAUAAGAGGAAAAGCAGCCUGAAGAUGGAAGCUCCUGGCUGGCAAUCAGGGAAGAGCCCCAAUGACUUUGCUUUGAAUGGAGCGAGUGCUAUCUGAAACUCAGUUGAAUGUAAUCUCCAUUGUAGGUAGUUAGUAAAAAAGGAUAGCUGUAUCUAACUGUGAUGUUUAGGAAUCAGGCCUGUGGGAAGACUCUAGGCUUAGAAAAAAGCAGCGUGGUAGAAUUCCCAUUGUUGACUAUUAGCCAC